AUACAGAGGGUGCGAGCGUUAAUCGGAUUUACUGGGCGUAAAGCGUGCGCAGGCGGUUGUGCAAGACAGGCGUGAAAUCCCCGGGCUUAACAUGGGAAUGGCGCUUGUGACUGCACGGCUGGAGUGCGGCAGAGGGGGAUGGAAUUCCGCGUGUAGCAGUGAAAUGCGUAGAUAUGCGGAGGAACACCGAUGGCGAAGGCAGUCCCCUGGGCCUGCACUGACGCUCAUGCACGAAAGCGUGGGGAGCAAACAGGAUUAGAUACCCUGGUAGUCCACGCCCUAAACGAUGUCGACUGGUUGUUGGGCCUUAGGUGGCUCAGUAACGAAGCUAACGCGUGAAGUCGACCGCCUGGGGAGUACGGCCGCGAGGUUGAA
Molecule: ribosomal RNA, 375 nt
Filed under: uncultured bacterium
Lineage: Bacteria
Description: bacterial SSU rRNA
Rfam family: Bacterial small subunit ribosomal RNA
Source: RNAcentral